UACGAAGGGUGCAACCGUUGCUCGGAAUUAUUGGGCGUAAAGCGCACGUAGGCGGCUUGGCAAGUCGGAUGUGAAAUCCCUCGGCUCAACCAAGGAAGUGCAUCCGAAACUGCUGAGCUUGAGUUCUUAAGAGGAUCGCGGAAUUCCCGGUGUAGAGGUGAAAUUCGUAGAUAUCGGGAGGAACACCAGUGGCGAAGGCGGCGACCUGGGCCAAUACUGACGCUGAGGUGCGAAAGCGUGGGGAGCAAACAGG
RNAcentral lists this ribosomal RNA (253 nucleotides) under uncultured bacterium. RNAcentral describes it as "partial 16S ribosomal RNA". It matches the Rfam family "Bacterial small subunit ribosomal RNA", at positions 524 to 776 of the family's 1533-position model. The record is from RNAcentral.